GAGCUUGAACCUAAAGGACAAAGGCAUCUAACUGAUAAUUAGAAAGAAUGAGGUUCAAUUCCUCACAAUCUCU
This 73-nucleotide transfer RNA is filed under the name Ptilometra sp. DH-R. RNAcentral describes it as "tRNA-Ile". It matches the Rfam family "tRNA". Rfam says of the family: Transfer RNA (tRNA) molecules are approximately 80 nucleotides in length. Lineage: Eukaryota; Metazoa; Echinodermata; Crinoidea; Comatulida; Ptilometridae. The record is from RNAcentral.